RNAcentral lists this transfer RNA (63 nucleotides) under marine eukaryotic metagenome. It matches the Rfam family "tRNA", at positions 6 to 65 of the family's 71-position model. Rfam says of the family: Transfer RNA (tRNA) molecules are approximately 80 nucleotides in length. The record is from RNAcentral.
CCUUAGCUCAGUCGGUAGAGCAACUGACUUUUAAUCAGUAGGUCGCUGGUUCGAGCCCAGCAG